GAUGAACGCUGGCGGCGUGCCUAAUACAUGCAAGUCGAGCGAACAGACGAGGAGCUUGCUCCUCUGACGUUAGCGGCGGACGGGUGAGUAACACGUGGAUAACCUACCUAUAAGACUGGGAUAACUUCGGGAAACCGGAGCUAAUACCGGAUAAUAUAUUGAACCGCAUGGUUCAAUAGUGAAAGACGGUUUUGCUGUCACUUAUAGAUGGAUCCGCGCCGCAUUAGCUAGUUGGUAAGGUAACGGCUUACCAAGGCAACGAUGCGUAGCCGACCUGAGAGGGUGAUCGGCCACACUGGAACUGAGACACGGGCCAGACUCCUACGGGAGGCAGCAGUAGGGAAUCUUCCGCAAUGGGCGAAAGCCUGACGGAGCAACGCCGCGUGAGUGAUGAAGGUCUUCGGAUCGUAAAACUCUGUUAUUAGGGAAGAACAAAUGUGUAAGUAACUAUGCACGUCUUGACGGUACCGAAGCAGAAAGCCACGGCUAACUACGU
Molecule: ribosomal RNA, 496 nt
Filed under: uncultured bacterium
Lineage: Bacteria
Description: partial 16S ribosomal RNA
Rfam family: Bacterial small subunit ribosomal RNA
Source: RNAcentral